GCUUCAAAGGAACUGUCAGCAGCCUGCGAGUUUUCCUUCCACAAGGGACAGAGGAGACAUUGAAACAUUCAGUCAACAGUGUUUGCCACUCAAUGGUCUGGGGAUAGAGAAAACCCGUGGAGUCCUCCUGGCAGUGGUGGGAGUGUGGGCUGCCUUCUAUGCUGGCCCCUGCAGGGUGUGGCCUGACGACCCCGGUCUCUGGGUCAGUGCCCCUCAAGGACGACUGGUCUCGACUGGACUCUUGGCGAAUGACAGCUCCUCCUGCUGCCAACAUCCAAGCUCAUCUGUGCCUCCAGCCAUGAAGAUCACUGCCCAUGGCAGUCUCCUCUUGCCAGCUCAGUCCUCAGCCAGCUCAUGGUCCUCUCAGCAGCUCUGUGUCUGCUCUGGGGGUGGGCCUGGGCCUUUUUCCCCCACCGUAUGCUCUGCACCUGUCAUGGCCACCAGCAUAGAAGUGAAUGAAUCCUUCAAAAUUCAGCUGAAAUAUUGAACUCUUCGCCAAUGUGUCCACCGUUUCCUCCUACUGCUUCCUCUGUGCUCUGGUAAGAAGAUCAUCUUGCUGCUACACGGAGCAUUUUUUGGCUUCUAUUCCAGCCCCUGCAUGCAUCUCAUCUCUCCUACGUUAUCAAUCCCACCUCUCCCCCACUGCCCAGGUGGGGGCUUCCCAAGGCCACCCUCAGAUCCUUGCCAUGUACAUGUUACGCUCAAUAAAUAUUAAAAUUAGUUGAAGUUGUGUUCUGUCUAAUUAA
RNAcentral lists this long non-coding RNA (746 nucleotides) under Homo sapiens (human). Its description in RNAcentral is "HSALNT0324254". The record is from RNAcentral. Lineage: Eukaryota; Metazoa; Chordata; Mammalia; Primates; Hominidae.